AGUCAGUGCUGCAAGGAGCUGCCCAUGAGAAAUCAGCAAGAAGGAAUGGGAGCUUUUGUAAUAGGAUGACAGCAGUGGAUGGUCCCUGCUGGGAGUGCUGAGGCUGCAGGUAGUGCUGUGAGGAGUGGCCAGAUUGGCUGGAUGCCUGGAUGGGAACGCCAGGAGCCUUUUGGGGAUCCAAGUGUAUCCAGGACAGCAGCAGCAGCACCUGAGGAACUAAAUCAGCAAUGCUGCCAAAAAAUGAGACUGAAAAUAUCAGAAAUAGCAAAUAACCAUACAGAAACCGGCAAGUUUUGGGAUGGACACAGCAAAAUUGUGAUCACUGGAAAAAAACAAUGUGCUGGUAAUUGUCCCCUCCUUCCUCUGAAAAUAAGACACAGAAACAAUAAGGUCUGGAGGUAAGAUUGUAAGUGCCAAUUAUUAUUUUUUUCUAUGCACUGGGAGAUUUCAGCCUGGACCUGACAGCCACCAUUGAGUUAUGUGCCACUUGAGCAGGCGUCCUGGUGCCAUUUGCAGGGACAUGUGGCUUGAUGAGGCUUUUAUGAGCAAUUACACAAUGGUGUAAUUUACAGCAUGAGCCUGGCACCCACAGCAUGCAGCAGGACACACACAGCAGAGGGGCACAGCAGGGAGAGGGGAAAUCAGGAAAACACAGCACAGCCCAGGCAGCAUCCCCAAAAACCAGCAGCUGGGCAGGCAAACCACAUGAGAUCCACUCUGAGAGCUGAGGGAGGCUGUCCUCACCUCAGAAGCUCAUUUUAAUGCUGGGAGACAAAUUAACACUGGCCACUUCACCUUUGCAAGGCAGAACUGGAGCAUUUCUGAAACCACAGCAAGUUUAUUGACAUUUAAGUUCUUCAACUCACUCCCCAUUAAAUCUUUGUACCAAAAGCCAUAAUGAUGAUGGCUAUUAUUAUUAUUUGUCAUCACAGUAGCAGCAUUUUGUGAGCAGCCAGGGGCUCAAUUGCAUUGCAAAGUUUAGCCCUUACUUGUAUUGAUCCAGUUCUCAACCAAAAGCUAUUUCUGAGAUUUUUAGGUUUUUGCUUUGUAUGGAUCAAAGAGCUGUGGGCUGCACUAGAGUCAACCCUAUGCUGGGAAGUUGUGAUGGGCUGUUUAAAACUUACAUCUCAUGGAUUGAGACAUCUUCCAGAGCUUGUGCUGAAAGCCAAGCCAAAACCUCAAUUUCUCUCAAGAAACUCCACCUGAAGAGCCCCUGAAGCCAGCAAAGGUCUCACAGGUUCUCCCACUGCACAUCAGCCAUGCACCAGAACCAGGUUCCAGGAUGUGAAGAACAGGAAAAACUCAUCUGACCUGAAAUCUGAGCCACCCAUCUCCUCUCAGGUGACACAGUCACAGCAAAUUCCCUCUGCCAGGGGUUGGGAAAAAAAGCAAAUGCAAGUUCCAACCAGUGAGGCUUAAAAGAAAAUGACCACAAAACAAUAAUGCUGCUUCUGGACCAAAAUUCUUAUUAGGCUCUUAUGCAUAGGCAGCCAUCACUGAUACUUGCUGUCUUUUUUUAAUUUAAAAAUGAUCAGUUUUCUAUGGUUUUUUUAAAAAAUUAAAAUAUUAGAGGUAUGGUUUUGUCCAGAAAAUCUCACUAAAAAGAGGAAGGCAACAGGUGGAUACUGCAGGUGGAUACCAACUUCAGGGAGAUCUUUAUGGGCUCAAAUGGGACUUGGCCAUUUCCCAUGGUUUAUCAGCCUGAUGGGUGUUUGGGGACACCCUUUCCAGCUGCAUCAUUUCCCUGUUCACUACAUACAGAAAAUAGGUGCACACCCAGUUCUCUGAACUCCUCUUCCCUGUCCCAGAGUGCUGCACAGUCAUGUCUGCUUGUUUUGUGUUAAAUUUCACCACAUUUGUUUCACAGGAUUUAGUGGGAGCCUGUUCAGAAGAGGCUGAAGUGUUGUCUCCGUAUUGCUUGGGUUUAUACAUAUCAAUUUCAGCACUUUACUGAAUUUCCAUGAUGUUCUCCUUUCACAAAUGACUCAGAGCUGGGAAACUGCCUGAGGGUAUAAUGGAAUACUACAAGAUCUGAGUUUCUUUGUUUCUAGUCCCUCACUUAAUAGUAGCUCACAAACAGAAGUUAUUGAGCAUCCAGCACCGAAAAGAGAUGUUGAGGUUGCGCCCAAUGUAUUUUUACUGUGUUGCCCUUUUUGCUGCAAAUGGGCCAAUGCAAAGGGAAUUCCCUCCAGUCUAGCUGCUUUGGAAGUGUGGCAUAAACUAUAAGUAGGUGAUCACAAAAAAUUAAUUAAAUCCCCUUGGCACGCACUGAAAAAUAAUCAGUGUUCUUUUUGUAGCAGACCUGACAGGUUUAUAAUAAGAAAUGUUUCAUUAAAGCAGUAAAGCUCAUUGUCUGCAAAUGUUGUAAAGUAAAAUAAAUGAGAAUUAAAACUAAAUCUUUAUUAAGUUUUGAUGAAGAUUCUGUCCUUGAGCUGUAAAUCCAGGGCAUUUCUCUCCUAGAAAACCACUAGGAAUGAUGUAUAUGAUAUACCACAGAUGGAAUAUCUUCUAGAUAAUGAAAUCACUGAGAACUGUGGGUGAGAGUUAGAGCUGAAUUUGUUCUACCUCCUCCCAAACUGCCAAGCUCAGGAGUCCAUGGAUGACCUUGCAUGUGUAGGGAUGAAUCCCAUCUUCUUCAUGGCCAACAAAAUAGACAGGUCCUUCCACAAUGAAUUUAAUUUGUUCUGAGACGGACAAAGAAAGCUACCCCACCCCAAA
Molecule: long non-coding RNA, 2718 nt
Organism: Zonotrichia leucophrys gambelii
Lineage: Eukaryota; Metazoa; Chordata; Aves; Passeriformes; Passerellidae
Exons: 4
Source: RefSeq, a predicted model, not a curated record